UACGGAGGGGGGCUAGCGUUGUUCGGAAUUACUGGGCGUAAAGCGCACGUAGGCGGCUUUGUAAGUUAGAGGUGAAAGCCCGGGGCUCAACCCCGGAAUUGCCUUUAAGACUGCAUCGCUUGAAUCCGGGAGAGGUGAGUGGAAUUCCGAGUGUAGAGGUGAAAUUCGUAGAUAUUCGGAAGAACACCAGUGGCGAAGGCGGCUCACUGGACCGGCAUUGACGCUGAGGUGCGAAAGCGUGGGGAGCAAACAGG
This 254-nucleotide ribosomal RNA is filed under the name uncultured bacterium. RNAcentral describes it as "partial 16S ribosomal RNA". It matches the Rfam family "Bacterial small subunit ribosomal RNA", at positions 524 to 776 of the family's 1533-position model. The record is from RNAcentral.